RNAcentral lists this non-coding RNA (30 nucleotides) under Mus musculus (house mouse). Lineage: Eukaryota; Metazoa; Chordata; Mammalia; Rodentia; Muridae. The record is from RNAcentral.
UGGUUGCUAUUGAAUUGGGCUGUUGGUAUC